GAGUUUAUAUUCCUACGGGAAGCAGCAGUGAGGAAUUUUUCACAAUGGACGAAAGUCUGAUGGAGCAAUCCCACGUGAACGAUGAAGGUCUUCUGAUUGUAAAGUUCUUUUAUUUAGGAAAAAAAGCGCGCUAGGAAAUCAGCGCCCCCG
This 150-nucleotide ribosomal RNA is filed under the name uncultured Mycoplasma sp. RNAcentral describes it as "partial 16S ribosomal RNA". It matches the Rfam family "Bacterial small subunit ribosomal RNA", at positions 327 to 471 of the family's 1533-position model. The record is from RNAcentral. Lineage: Bacteria; Bacillati; Mycoplasmatota; Mollicutes; Mycoplasmatales; Mycoplasmataceae.